Non-coding RNA from Chryseobacterium sp. IHB B 17019, 68 nucleotides. The record is from Rfam. NCBI's taxonomy places the organism in Bacteria, Pseudomonadati, Bacteroidota, Flavobacteriia, Flavobacteriales, Weeksellaceae.
CCCUAGCCCCGAUAGAAACGAAAAUCCUUUUUUGAAAAAAAAGAUUGCAGUGGAUAGCGGGAAAUAGC